Molecule: long non-coding RNA, 1899 nt
Organism: Malaclemys terrapin pileata
Lineage: Eukaryota; Metazoa; Chordata; Testudines; Emydidae
Exons: 3
Source: RefSeq, a predicted model, not a curated record
CCUGGAAACAACAGGAAUCUCGUGCAGGGGAAGCAGCAGGAGAGAGACUGCUGAGCCAGUCAAUAUCUGAAAACGCAAACAGCAGACACUGGACGUGAGGGACAGACUGGGGGACUUACACCAGAAGGGGAUUUGGAUCAGCACAUGGUUGGAAUCAGAGAAAUCGAUCUCAAACCACCACGACCCUGCAGGCCCCCUAUGGGAUCCCCGUGGGACAGAAAAGGCUCUCCACUGUAGACGGAGCUGGAGAGAAACCAUGCUCGUUUCAAGAGCAAAGCAGAGGGACAGUGGAGCAGCCCAUUGGGCACAGAAAGGUAAGGGACAUCCCUGCUAAAAUAACUCCAUGCUACAGAGGAAAAGCUGCUAACUGUAACACAGUCAGGCUGGGUUACGCUGCAUAGAUUGGGCUCACCAAUCCGGGUACUGAGAAGUUUACCCUGAGCCUGGACUCCUUGCAAGAACCUCGAAACAGGUCUAGCAGAAGACGGAGGCAACAGCAUGUGAUGAAAAGCCACAGGCACGUGUGCAGGGUACGUAUCCCUAACAAUGAGACGGGCUAAAAUGUUGCUAGCAGGAUCAAUUGGGCACCUGUAGUUAUUUCUUUUUUUGCACAACUUCUCCCUAGAGUUCCCCAGUCACAGAGCCCGCUUGGAGCGAAUUAGAAAGCAAGCAGGCACCAUCUGAAUCAAGCCACCUGCGUUGGCCUCUGAACACCAGAGGGACACGAGCAAUUAUUAACUUGCCAAUAAUCAGACACAUCAUGACCCCAGGGCCUAAAACUCCGUUUGCUGUCAUUGUUGAAGAGGCCAUCGGCGGGGGCAGGGUGAAGCUGUUCUGGUGUAAAUGACACAUGCCAUUACUGUACAGAUGGACUGCGGUUUUCCAUAGCUGACACGAUGACUCAGACUCCGAAGUCCAGGCUGGUGACUAGGAAGGACAAACAGGUGUCUGGGGCGGAGCCAGCUGCCCCACAAGUGAAGACAGGAAUUUUCACCUAGGCAGCAUUUUUCAUCUGAGAAUCUCAAAGGAAUCUUCAAGCUCCCCAUUUCUGGGACUACCAGUGAGUCCUCAAGCAAAACCAGGAGAGACCAGACAGACGUACCCAACAUUUCAAAGUUUGGGUGCUUGCUCUUUGCUGCUGAACUUCAAAACUCCAUCCUGUGACAGCUGGAAAAAACAAGGCAUAUGCUCUUCUCUCUCCCAGGAUGCUUUGCAGCAGUCACCAAAAUGCAGCCACCUCUUGGUUAGGGCCACAACAGCUGUUUAAAAGUGCACAGCAACAACAGAAGCAGUGAAGACUUCUCUAUCCCUUUGAAACCACCGGGGGAAAUUGAGGGUGGUGGGACAGAAAUGGGCUUGUUGGAAAUCGGCAAAAACAACGUUUAACAACCCAACUCUUGGGAGUUAAAUAUAAACAGGAUGGCAGGAUGCGAGGUUUCCAGCAGCCCAGCGCCUCCUACUGCCCAUCAGAUGCCUUUAUUCACAACAGCCAUAAGAGGUUUGUCCCCAUCCCAGACCUGGCCUACCCCCUUUCGUGCCUCAGAUCAUAGCAUGAUAUGAAAAUCUCUACAUUCUUUAUAGUCAGAGCCUUGGGAGGAUUAGAUUUUUGUUGGUAAAUGGCAAUUUUACCAGACACACAAACCUACAAAAAAUAUUUCCAUUGUUAAUAACUGAAAUUGGCAGAGGGGCAAAGUAAGACAAAGGCUGCUUGAGAAUUUAUUAGAGGCAAAAGCCAGCAAUUUGUUCUUCUGAAUUAGGCUUGUUCCAAAUGACUAGCAAAAGCAGGUAUGAUUUGUUGACUUAAGACUCUUGUCUUUGUAUAUAUUGACAUGCGAUGGUGACAAUUUGUGUUUUAACCAUCUAUACAACUUUCACUUUUUGAAUCUGUGUCUACUGACA